Molecule: ribosomal RNA, 490 nt
Filed under: Fusarium sp. hl1
Lineage: Eukaryota; Fungi; Ascomycota; Sordariomycetes; Hypocreales; Nectriaceae
Description: eukaryotic LSU rRNA
Rfam family: 5.8S ribosomal RNA (bases 109-262)
Source: RNAcentral
GUUGCUUCGGCGGGAACAGACGGCCCUGUAACAACGGGCCGCCCCCGCCAGAGGACCCCUAACUCUGUUUUUAUAAUGUUUUUCUGAGUAAACAAGCAAAUAAAUUAAAACUUUCAACAACGGAUCUCUUGGCUCUGGCAUCGAUGAAGAACGCAGCGAAAUGCGAUAAGUAAUGUGAAUUGCAGAAUUCAGUGAAUCAUCGAAUCUUUGAACGCACAUUGCGCCCGCCAGUAUUCUGGCGGGCAUGCCUGUUCGAGCGUCAUUACAACCCUCAGGCCCCCGGGCCUGGCGUUGGGGAUCGGCAGAAGCCCCCUGUGGGCACACGCCGUCCCUCAAAUACAGUGGCGGUCCCGCCGCAGCUUCCAUUGCGUAAUAGCUAACACCUCGCAACUGGAGAGCGGCGCGGCCAUGCCGUAAAACACCCAACUUCUGAAUGUUGACCUCGAAUCAGGUAGGAAUACCCGCUGAACUUAAGCAUAUCAAUAAGCGG